Long non-coding RNA from Styela clava, 1301 nucleotides. RefSeq lists it as uncharacterized. The record is from RefSeq and is a predicted model, not a curated record. NCBI's taxonomy places the organism in Eukaryota, Metazoa, Chordata, Ascidiacea, Stolidobranchia, Styelidae.
GGAAACCAUCGUGUCUGCCGCGUGUUUCUUUUUUUAAUAUUUGUUUAUGUGUGUAAUAUGGGUAAACGGGCACAUGUAUUUCUACGUGUUUUAAACCUUAUCAGAAGUUUUGCCAGUUAUAACCUUGCUUUGAAGAGCUGAUCUGACAUGAUUUAUAACUCACCCAUGUAUCCCACCCCACCCCUCCUCUUGUAUCGAAGACAAUUUUGGAAUGUGACAAAUGAGAUCUGAAGAAAUCAACAUAUAUGAUCUCCGUCUCCCAGUUUUUCAUAGAUGUAUUCAACCAAUUUAAUAAUUGCAUGAUUUGUUGAAUAGUUGUUCUUGAAACUGAAAUUUUCAGUGGUUAAUGAUUGUAUUCGUCCCUAAAAGGCUAUUACUUUUAUUUAUUACAAAAAUUCCUGUGGGCUCUAUAAGAUUCCUUUUUUUGUGUCGAUGACGUAAUCGAGAUUGUGCAUCUUGUGGCGGGCCCGCGUUCGGUGCUUUUUGGUGGUAUAGCGAAGGCGGUCAUACGGGUUGUCGACUGCCUAAGAUUGCAUACCCGUACCACUUCAUAGUGUCCAUAUAGUUGAGCAUUGCUUUUUCGUUUUAGAAUUGCGAGUCUGUCGCAAUACUGAUUAGAUUACAACUUUCCCAAUAUACUGUAUCUGAUCAGAAGAUGUUUUCCAGAACAUCAAUUUUCUUGUUGGACACUAUGGAACGUUUUUUCAAUAUGCUGUUAUUAUUUUUCUGUAUUUUUUGUUGUUGUGAAAAUAUCUCCUUUUUCUUCAACUAGAAUAGACAAAUUGCUCAGUCAACUACUUGAAAUUUUCGGCAGUCAAAUAAUAUUUGUGUGAUGAUGAAAAGUCCCUUCGUGAUCAUAUAUUUGAGUAACAAGAUGUUAAUGGUGACGUAACGAUUAAAAUUUUCGCAAUCACUCUGACACUUUUACUCCAUGGUUGCAAACAUUAUCUGGUUUUAUUGUUUUGAUAGAUCAGGGUUUCCCAACUGCGGUACAUGUAGGCUACCCCCGGGGGCACAUUUCGACCCUUAAGGGGGACAACAGCUUUUAUUCAGGGAUGUUUUUUCCAUAACUCCUAAUUUGCCUAGAAAUAAAUGUUAUCACACGAUAUUAUUAAUUUAAAUACCUGAGUUGAUGACUGCCUAAGAAGUCACAUUUCCACCAAUAGAAGCUUUAUUGCAACCACAAUAACAACCAAAUCUAUGUACUUUGUCAAAAAUUAUUGGGAAAUGAUUAGUUACAACCAAGCCUCUUCAGUCUUCACUAAGGAUGCUAAGUAUGAUUACUUACAAGUAUUCGAUUC